Non-coding RNA from Ictidomys tridecemlineatus (thirteen-lined ground squirrel), 1235 nucleotides. The record is from RefSeq and is a predicted model, not a curated record. NCBI's taxonomy places the organism in Eukaryota, Metazoa, Chordata, Mammalia, Rodentia, Sciuridae.
AUGGGGACCAUUAAAGCAAUGAAGUCAUAUAGGAAGAAGAGGAGGCGGGAACAACCCCCCCAUCACCCUCCCACCCCCGGCACUGACCAAAGCGCGUGCCGCUGCAUCCCCGUGUCCAGCGCCGUCGCCACCGUGCCCAAGAGAAAGGCUGAAAGGAAUGCUAAAGGAGAUAAAGCCAAGGUGAAAGACAACCACAGAGAAGAUCUGCAAGGUUGUCUGCCAAACCUGCUCCUCCAAAGCCAGAGCCCAAGCCUAAAAAGGCCCCUUCAAAGAAGGGAGAGAAGGUACCCAAAGGGAAAAAGGGAAAAGCUGACACUGGCAAGGAUGGGAAUAACCCUGCAGAAAAUGGAGAUGCCAAAACAGACCAGGCACAGAAGGCUGAAGGUGCUGGAGAUGCCAAAUGAAGUGUGUGCAAUUUGAUAACUGUGUACUUCUGGUGACUGUACAGUUUGAAAUACUAUUUUUUAUCAAGUUUUAUAAAAAUGUAGAAUUUUGUUUUACUUUUUUUUUUUAAGCUAUGUUGUUAGCACACAGAACACUUCAUUGUUGUUUUGGGGGUGGGGGGAAGGAGCAUAUGUCACUAGUAGAAUGUCUCCAAAGCUGGAUUGCUGUGGGGGGAAAACACCUUUCCCUUCUAGUUUUGAGAGACUUCCUCUUUGUUCCCAAGAGGAAGGGACUCCCUGAUGUUGGCACACAUAGCCACCUUGGCACAAAUGCCUUGUGGUAUGGAAAAACUCAAACUCAUCUGUAUGUCCUCCUGUCCCUCUCUGCCAUGAGCAUAGACUUAUCUCCCCUAAACUCAGACCUGUUGGGACCUGAUUCCCAACGAUUGGUUUUACCAGUGUGUGGGGCAAUCUGGACUUUCCAGUGACGUCAUUGAGAAUAUGUCCCUCAGAAGAGCAGCAGUUCCUUUUCUAGAUUGUGGAUCUUCAGAUUAAUAAUUUUUGCCAUUUUCCUUUCAUUUCCUGAAAGUCAGGGUCGGCUUGUGAAAAGUUGUUAAACAACAUGCUAAAUGUGAAAUGUCAACCCUCACUCUAAACUUUCCCUAUUCAGAGCAUCAAAUGAAGACUUCAUUGGGUUUUAUAAUGGCUUUCUGAUUUUGGUAGUCCAUUCAAGAAGGGAGUUUGAAAGUUGUUGUAUACUGUUAACGAUUGUCUGCCCAUGUCCUGCCUGAAAUAUCAUGAUUGUUUAUGAAAAGUAUCUUUAAUAAAGCUGGAUACAGUUUGAAAAAAAAA